CCUACGGGAGGCAGCAGUGAGGAAUAUUGGUCAAUGGGCGCGAGCCUGAACCAGCCAAGUCGCGUGAGGGAAGACGGUCCUAUGGAUUGUAAACCUCUUUUGUCGGGGAGCAAAAGACGCCACGCGUGGCGUUCCGCGAGUACCCGAAGAAAAAGCAUCGUCUAACUCCGUGCCAGCAGCCGCGGUAAUACGGAGGAUGCGAGCGUUAUCCGGAUUUAUAGGGUUGAAAGGGUGCGCAGGCGGAAGAUCAAGUCAGCGGUAAAAUUGAGAGGCUCAACCUCUUCGAGCCGUUGAAACUGGUUUUCUUGAGUGAGCGAGAAGUAUGCGGAAUGCGUGGUGUAGCUGUGAAAUGCAUAGAUAUCACGCAGAACUCCGAUUGCGAAGGCAGCAUACCGGCGCUCAACUGACGCUCAUGCACGAAAGUGUGGGUAUCGAACAGGAUUAGAUACCCCUGUAGUC
RNAcentral lists this ribosomal RNA (459 nucleotides) under uncultured bacterium. RNAcentral's name for it is "partial 16S ribosomal RNA". It matches the Rfam family "Bacterial small subunit ribosomal RNA", at positions 338 to 795 of the family's 1533-position model. The record is from RNAcentral.